RNAcentral lists this ribosomal RNA (1183 nucleotides) under Lacticaseibacillus rhamnosus. RNAcentral describes it as "bacterial SSU rRNA". It matches the Rfam family "Bacterial small subunit ribosomal RNA", at positions 287 to 1460 of the family's 1533-position model. Lineage: Bacteria; Bacillati; Bacillota; Bacilli; Lactobacillales; Lactobacillaceae. The record is from RNAcentral.
CCGAACUGAGAGGUUGAUCGGCCACAUUGGGACUGAGACACGGCCCAAACUCCUACGGGAGGCAGCAGUAGGGAAUCUUCCACAAUGGACGCAAGUCUGAUGGAGCAACGCCGCGUGAGUGAAGAAGGCUUUCGGGUCGUAAAACUCUGUUGUUGGAGAAGAAUGGUCGGCAGAGUAACUGUUGUCGGCGUGACGGUAUCCAACCAGAAAGCCACGGCUAACUACGUGCCAGCAGCCGCGGUAAUACGUAGGUGGCAAGCGUUAUCCGGAUUUAUUGGGCGUAAAGCGAGCGCAGGCGGUUUUUUAAGUCUGAUGUGAAAGCCCUCGGCUUAACCGAGGAAGUGCAUCGGAAACUGGGAAACUUGAGUGCAGAAGAGGACAGUGGAACUCCAUGUGUAGCGGUGAAAUGCGUAGAUAUAUGGAAGAACACCAGUGGCGAAGGCGGCUGUCUGGUCUGUAACUGACGCUGAGGCUCGAAAGCAUGGGUAGCGAACAGGAUUAGAUACCCUGGUAGUCCAUGCCGUAAACGAUGAAUGCUAGGUGUUGGAGGGUUUCCGCCCUUCAGUGCCGCAGCUAACGCAUUAAGCAUUCCGCCUGGGGAGUACGACCGCAAGGUUGAAACUCAAAGGAAUUGACGGGGGCCCGCACAAGCGGUGGAGCAUGUGGUUUAAUUCGAAGCAACGCGAAGAACCUUACCAGGUCUUGACAUCUUUUGAUCACCUGAGAGAUCAGGUUUCCCCUUCGGGGGCAAAAUGACAGGUGGUGCAUGGUUGUCGUCAGCUCGUGUCGUGAGAUGUUGGGUUAAGUCCCGCAACGAGCGCAACCCUUAUGACUAGUUGCCAGCAUUUAGUUGGGCACUCUAGUAAGACUGCCGGUGACAAACCGGAGGAAGGUGGGGAUGACGUCAAAUCAUCAUGCCCCUUAUGACCUGGGCUACACACGUGCUACAAUGGAUGGUACAACGAGUUGCGAGACCGCGAGGUCAAGCUAAUCUCUUAAAGCCAUUCUCAGUUCGGACUGUAGGCUGCAACUCGCCUACACGAAGUCGGAAUCGCUAGUAAUCGCGGAUCAGCACGCCGCGGUGAAUACGUUCCCGGGCCUUGUACACACCGCCCGUCACACCAUGAGAGUUUGUAACACCCGAAGCCGGUGGCGUAACCCUUUUAGGGAGCGAGCCGUCUAA